GACGAACGCUGGCGGCGUGCUUAACACAUGCAAGUCGAACGGAAAGGCCCUGCUUGCAGGGUACUCGAGUGGCGAACGGGUGAGUAACACGUGGGUGAUCUGCCCUGCACUUCGGGAUAAGCCUGGGAAACUGGGUCUAAUACCGGAUAGGAGCCACUUUUAGUGUGAUGGUUGGAAAGUUUUUUCGGUGUAGGAUGAGCUCGCGGCCUAUCAGCUUGUUGGUGGGGUAAUGGCCUACCAAGGCGGCGACGGGUAGCCGGCCUGAGAGGGUGGACGGCCACAUUGGGACUGAGAUACGGCCCAGACUCCUACGGGAGGCAGCAGUGGGGAAUAUUGCACAAUGGGCGCAAGCCUGAUGCAGCGACGCCGCGUGGGGGAUGACGGCCUUCGGGUUGUAAACUCCUUUCGCUAGGGACGAAGCUUUUUGUGACGGUACCUAGAGAAGAAGCACCGGCUAACUACGUG
This 465-nucleotide ribosomal RNA is filed under the name uncultured bacterium. RNAcentral's name for it is "partial 16S ribosomal RNA". It matches the Rfam family "Bacterial small subunit ribosomal RNA", at positions 28 to 507 of the family's 1533-position model. The record is from RNAcentral.